AUGUGGAGCCGUAGCGAAAGCGAGUCUGAAUAGGGCGUUGAGUAUUUGGUCGUAGACCCGAAACCAGGUGAUCUACCCAUGGUCAGGUUGAAGUUCAGGUAACACUGAAUGGAGGACCGAACCGACUUACGUUGAAAAGUGAGCGGAUGAACUGUGGGUAGCGGAGAAAUUCCAAUCGAACUUGGAGAUAGCUGGUUCUCUCCGAAAUAGCUUUAGGGCUAGCCUCAAGUGAUGAUUAUUGGAGGUAGAGCACUGUUUGGACGAGGGGCCCCUCUCGGGUUACCGAAUUCAGACAAACUCCGAAUGCCAAUUAAUUUAACUUGGGAGUCAGAACAUGGGUGAUAAGGUCCGUGUUCGAAAGGGAAACAGCCCAGACCACCAGCUAAGGUCCCAAAAUAUAUGUUAAGUGGAAAAGGAUGUGGCGUUGCCCAGACAACUAGGAUGUUGGCUUAGAAGCAGCCAUCAUUUAAAGAGUGCGUAAUAGCUCACUAGUCGAGUGACACUGCGCCGAAAAUGUACCGGGGCUAAACAUAUUACCGAAGCUGUGGAUUGUCCGUAGGACAAUGGUAGGAGAGCGUUCUAAGGGCGUUGAAGCAUGAU
Molecule: ribosomal RNA, 600 nt
Filed under: Staphylococcus haemolyticus
Lineage: Bacteria; Bacillati; Bacillota; Bacilli; Caryophanales; Staphylococcaceae
Description: partial 23S ribosomal RNA
Rfam family: Bacterial large subunit ribosomal RNA
Source: RNAcentral